GAUGAACGCUGGCGGCGUGCCUAAUACAUGCAAGUCGAACGCUGAAGGAAGGAGCUUGCUCUUUCCGGAUGAGUUGCGAACGGGUGAGUAACGCGUAGGUAACCUGCCUGGUAGCGGGGGAUAACUAUUGGAAACGAUAGCUAAUACCGCAUAACAGUAGAUGUUGCAUGAUAUCUACUUAAAAGGUGCAAUUGCACCACUACCAGAUGGACCUGCGUUGUAUUAGCUAGUUGGUGAGGUAACGGCUCACCAAGGCGACGAUACAUAGCCGACCUGAGAGGGUGAUCGGCCACACUGGGACUGAGACACGGCCCAGACUCCUACGGGAGGCAGCAGUAGGGAAUCUUCGGCAAUGGACGGAAGUCUGACCGAGCAACGCCGCGUGAGUGAAGAAGGGUUUCGGAUCGUAAAGCUCUGUUGUAAGAGAAGAACGAGUGUGAGAGUGGAAAGUUCACACUGUGACGGUAUCUUACCAGAAAGAGACGGCUAACUACGUG
Molecule: ribosomal RNA, 497 nt
Filed under: uncultured bacterium
Lineage: Bacteria
Description: partial 16S ribosomal RNA
Rfam family: Bacterial small subunit ribosomal RNA
Source: RNAcentral